AACACCCGAUCCCAUUCCGAACUCGGCCGUGAAACGCUCCAGCGCCCAUGAUACUUCGUCUCAAGACGCGGGAAAGUCGGUCGCCGCCA
This 89-nucleotide ribosomal RNA is filed under the name Aureimonas endophytica. Lineage: Bacteria; Pseudomonadati; Pseudomonadota; Alphaproteobacteria; Hyphomicrobiales; Aurantimonadaceae. The record is from RNAcentral.